This 71-nucleotide transfer RNA is filed under the name Stegodyphus mimosarum. It matches the Rfam family "tRNA". Rfam says of the family: Transfer RNA (tRNA) molecules are approximately 80 nucleotides in length. Their secondary structure includes four short double-helical elements and three loops (D, anti-codon, and T loops). Further hydrogen bonds mediate the characteristic L-shaped molecular structure. tRNAs have two regions of fundamental functional importance: the anti-codon, which is responsible for specific mRNA codon recognition, and the 3' end, to which the tRNAs corresponding amino acid is attached (by aminoacyl-tRNA synthetases). tRNAs cope with the degeneracy of the genetic code in two manners: having more than one tRNA (with a specific anti-codon) for a particular amino acid; and 'wobble' base-pairing, i.e. permitting non-standard base-pairing at the 3rd anti-codon position. The record is from Rfam by way of RNAcentral. Lineage: Eukaryota; Metazoa; Arthropoda; Arachnida; Araneae; Eresidae.
GCCUUCGUGGUGUAACAGUAGCACACUCUGGGCGUAUUCGAAAGGUCCAGGUUCGAAUCCCGGCGAGGGCA